This 407-nucleotide ribosomal RNA is filed under the name uncultured bacterium. RNAcentral's name for it is "partial 16S ribosomal RNA". It matches the Rfam family "Bacterial small subunit ribosomal RNA", at positions 28 to 526 of the family's 1533-position model. The record is from RNAcentral.
GACGAACGCUGGCGGCGUGCCUAAUACAUGCAAGUAGGACGCAGUUGCGAACGGGUGAGUCACGCGUAGGUAACUGCCUAUUCGAGGGGGAUAACUAUUGGAAACGAUAGCUAAUACCGCAUACUCGUAGCUUGACCUGCGUUGUAUUAGCUAGUAGGUAGGGUAAUGGCCUACCUAGGCAACGCUACAUAGCCGAGGUGGGAGGGUGGUGAGGCACAAUGGGACUGAGACACGGCCCAGACGCCUAAGGGAGGGAGCAGUAGGGAAACUUCGGGAAUGGGGGGAACGGUGAACAAGCAAAGGCGCGUGAGUGAAGAAGGUGUUCGGAUCGUAAAGCGAGGUUGUUAAGGAAGCGGUACUUAACCAGAAAGGGACGGCUAACUACGUGCCAGCCGCCGCGGUAAUUC